GCUAUUAGGGCGGGGCUUUGUCGGGGGCGGGGCAAUGGUGGCUGCUCGUGUGUUACCGGAAGCGGCCUAAGGCAGCGAUGGCAGAGCCGCAGCGUGAGAGGCAGCCCGGUUGUGGCAAAAGGAGCACGGACUCGUCCCCUGGCCUGCCGGGCACAUCCCCCCCCGCUGGGACAGCAGCCCCUGCAGCUCCCCCCGCCAGGGUAGCGCCCCCUGGGCCAGGCCCAAGCCCCCCUCCCAGGGCCGCUCCCCCCGUGGCGCCCCCUGCCAUGGCAUCACCACCUGUGCCAGGCCCAAGCCCCCCUGCCAGGGCCGCUCCCCCCACUCCAUCUGAAACAAUAUCCCCCAAGCCAGCUGAGGAAACGCCCGUGCUGCUGGAUGACGUGCGAUACCAGAUCGCGUGCACCAACUGGUACUAAAGCUGUCCAGCGCCACAGCAUCUGGAGGGCGAGUCCCAGACCCUGGUGCGCCAGGCACCCAGGGAUACAGAUGGGCUCCAUGUCGUCCCCAGGAGCACCUGUGUCACUGUCCCCCUUGAAGAUGACAUCCUGCGUACUGCUGCAUCUGAUACUUUGAAUAAAGAGCCAGGGUCAAAGCUGCUGAGUUCCUGCUCUUCUCUCCUGCUACUAAGCUCCCAGUUCUACCAGCCUUCAUGCUGAUAUCCCCAAAUCACCAGGACAGCGACCCUGGCCGUAACCAUGGGGCUUUACUCUUUCCCCUCACCCACAAAAACUUUCCUUCCCAAGGGGCCAUAUCCCCUCUCUCCCCCGUGCACACGUGUCCUGCCUUCUUGUGCUUAACAGAGCACACUGUGCUGACUGCACAGCUUGCGGUUUUCAGAAUCAAAUCCACUUUUUGCUGGAUUGGUGCUUCUCCCCAACAGAAGAUAUUGCUUUACCAAAAUUCACCUUCCAACCCCCCACCCCACCCAGUUGAGCUACAGAGUUGUUGAACACAUUAGGCCAGGUAUUUUUAAUAAUGGUGAGUGUAUUCCCUCUCCCACGGCUCUAAUACUUCAAGGCAGCUGAAACCUUUUUUAAUACUGUCUUCUGCCAGAAAGCAAGUGUGAAUAGCAGGAGCCCAAACUGCAUGAGGUUUGCAGACCCGUGAGUGACUGGAAGCGGUGUGAAACGGAAACCAUUGUAUAGCCUAAGUUGGAGAAGUUGGGGCUGCCUCUACCAUCAUUUUUGCUGCUCUCUUCCUGAAAUGCUGAGUAAAAUAAUUGCCUUUA
Long non-coding RNA from Chelonia mydas (Green sea turtle), 1228 nucleotides. RefSeq lists it as uncharacterized. NCBI's taxonomy places the organism in Eukaryota, Metazoa, Chordata, Testudines, Cheloniidae. The transcript is spliced from 2 exons. The record is from RefSeq and is a predicted model, not a curated record.